CACACUGGACUGAGACACGGUCCAGACUCCUACGGGAGGCAGCAGUGGGGAAUAUUGCACAAUGGGCGCAAGCCUGAUGCAGCCAUGCCGCGUGUGUGAAGAAGGCCUUCGGGUUGUAAAGCACUUUCAGUCGUGAGGAAGGUAGUGUAGUUAAUAGCUGCAUUAUUUGACGUUAGCGACAGAAGAAGCACCGGCUAACUCCGUGCCAGCAGCCGCGGUAAUACGGAGGGUGCGAGCGUUAAUCGGAAUUACUGGGCGUAAAGCGCAUGCAGGUGGUUUGUUAAGUCAGAUGUGAAAGCCCGGGGCUCAACCUCGGAAUAGCAUUUGAAACUGGCAGACUAGAGUACUGUAGAGGGGGGUAGAAUUUCAGGUGUAGCGGUGAAAUGCGUAGAGAUCUGAAGGAAUACCGGUGGCGAAGGCGGCCCCCUGGACAGAUACUGACACUCAGAUGCGAAAGCGUGGGGAGCAAACAGGAUUAGAUACCCUGGUAGUCCACGCCGUAAACGAUGUCUACUUGGAGGUUGUGGCCUUGAGCCGUGGCUUUCGGAGCUAACGCGUUAAGUAGACCGCCUGGGGAGUACGGUCGCAAGAUUAAAACUCAAAUGAAUUGACGGGGGCCCGCACAAGCGGUGGAGCAUGUGGUUUAAUUCGAUGCAACGCGAAGAACCUUACCUACUCUUGACAUCCA
RNAcentral lists this ribosomal RNA (688 nucleotides) under Vibrio sp. a233. RNAcentral's name for it is "bacterial SSU rRNA". It matches the Rfam family "Bacterial small subunit ribosomal RNA", at positions 309 to 990 of the family's 1533-position model. Lineage: Bacteria; Pseudomonadati; Pseudomonadota; Gammaproteobacteria; Vibrionales; Vibrionaceae. The record is from RNAcentral.